RNAcentral lists this ribosomal RNA (497 nucleotides) under uncultured bacterium. RNAcentral describes it as "partial 16S ribosomal RNA". It matches the Rfam family "Bacterial small subunit ribosomal RNA", at positions 28 to 507 of the family's 1533-position model. The record is from RNAcentral.
GAUGAACGCUGGCGGCGUGCCUAAUACAUGCAAGUAGAACGCUGAAGGAAGGAGCUUGCUCUUUCCGGAUGAGUUGCGAACGGGUGAGUAACGCGUAGGUAACCUGCCUGGUAGCGGGGGAUAACUAUUGGAAACGAUAGCUAAUACCGCAUAACAGUAGAUGUUGCAUGAUAUCUACUUAAAAGGUGCAAUUGCACCACUACCAGAUGGACCUGCGUUGUAUUAGCUAGUUGGUGAGGUAACGGCUCACCAAGGCGACGAUACAGAGCCCGACUGAGAGGGUGGUCGGCCCCACUGGGACUGCGACCCGGCCCAGACUCCUACCGGAGGCAGCAGUAGGGGAUCUUCGGCAAUGGACGGAAGUCUGACCGAGCCACGCCGCGUGAGUGAAGAAGGUUUUCGGAUCGUAAAGCUCUGUUGUAAGAGAAGAACGAGUGUGAGAGUGGAAAGUUCACACUGUGACGGUAUCUUACCAGAAAGGGACGGCUAACUACGUG